This is a long non-coding RNA of Hemicordylus capensis (graceful crag lizard), 1011 nucleotides long. RefSeq lists it as uncharacterized. The record is from RefSeq and is a predicted model, not a curated record. NCBI's taxonomy places the organism in Eukaryota, Metazoa, Chordata, Lepidosauria, Squamata, Cordylidae. The transcript has 3 exons.
GAUUGGCUCUUUCCUGCAGCGCGCGUGUUCCCGAGGCCGCAUCGCGCUCUCCCGGUUUCAAAGGCAAAAGAGGCGCCGCUUUCAACCAGAGCCCUGUCCCUUAAUUAUACAAAUGCAGUGAUCAAAGUUAUUAUCUGUCUUGACAAAGGGAAGGGCUUUAAUUGAACGGAGGGCGUCACUACCUUUGAGGGGUGGUGGUGGGGAUGUGUUCGGUUCUCAUGGAGAGCGCCGUGACAGCGAAGAAAAAGGGAAAGCAGGAGGGGAGGCGCAAGAAAAAGGGAGAGACGGUCUUUGAUCCAUUGAGCCCAAUACUGUCUACUGUGAUUGGCAGCAGCUUUCCAGGAUCUCAGACACAGGCCUUUUCAGAACCGCCAUCUGGGAUCUGUAACUGGAGAUUGAAGCUGGGAUUUUCUGCCUGUAAAAGAAGGUGCUUUGUUACUGAGCUAAUGCCCUCAUUGCUGGCAGAGUAGUGUACCAGGGGACUGAAAAUGCACAUUAUAUGUAAAUUAUAUCCUGCCCAUCAUUCAUCAGUGAGGAAAAAAUUGAAACAGGUACAUCAAGCCUCAGGAUCAUCACAAUAAGUUCAAAGUCAAUUUCAGAUGAGAUCAGAACAACAGCAACAACAAAAAUAUUGUAUUUCUUCAUCCAUAUGGGAGAAAGCUUCUAUUUCCUGUCUUGUUAUGUAAACAUGGAUUUUUAGGAGCACAGAACUGCUGUUACUUCCUUCUACUUGAUAGAGUUAUGCCUGUCGAGUUCAGCUUCACUCAUCAGUCAUUGGGGAGACAGUUCAUGAUGACUACACAGAGAGGGGUUUGCUUUUAAACUUCAUUGAAAAUUUGUCCUCAGAAAGUCAUUGGAACACAAGAUGCUCUGAGUUCUACAAGUGAGAGAAAUCAAUUCUGUGUGGCAGGAAAAGGUUUGAAAUUCCAUAAAUACUUGCUUAAGCCACCCUGAGCUUGAAGAGUUGUUUCCCCAGUUUUAUGAUGGUAAAUAAAUGAAAUUUUAUGCAUA